Regulatory RNA element from Corynebacterium riegelii, 58 nucleotides. It matches the Rfam family "msiK RNA". Lineage: Bacteria; Bacillati; Actinomycetota; Actinomycetes; Mycobacteriales; Corynebacteriaceae. The record is from Rfam.
GAGCUGUACACCCCACAACGGAUCGUUCGGCACGUACCUGCCGAUGGAGGAGAACACU